This 3178-nucleotide long non-coding RNA is filed under the name Haliotis rubra (blacklip abalone). RNAcentral's name for it is "uncharacterized LOC124274894". The record is from RNAcentral. Lineage: Eukaryota; Metazoa; Mollusca; Gastropoda; Lepetellida; Haliotidae.
CCUCAGAACCUGACAUUGAUGACCUCUCGAACCCGGAACAGUCUACGAAAUUCGGAUUAAGGCUAAGAAUGAAUACGGCAGCAGCAACUACACCUCCACCAUUGUAACCACUGGACACACAGACCCUACCAACAUCACGAUAAUCGCAGGUGUUACGGCAGCAGUUGUAGUUGUUGUUAUAGUUCUCACUGUCGUCGUCGUCGUAGAAGAAAUGGAGGAACAAACAGAAAGGUCAAGGUACCCUCGACGGCGGAUCAAGGGGAAGAGGAUGAAGGCCGAGUGGUAGAAGACAACGACCUGUAUGAGACGUCGGCUGACCUGAACAUCAACCCUGCAGGAACAGGAGCAGGGUCUCAAACAACGACGUUUAUGCUGUUGUCAGCAAGCCGCCAAGCCAAGAAAAACGAUCCAGCAGAGGACCUGUAUGCGAUGCCUCAAAAGGAGAAAAAGAAGAAAACAGAGGAAAACUAGGAAGAAGUUGGAAGAUCAAACGGAAGAUAUCUAUGCUCAGCCUGAGAAGAAGAAAGGAAAGACUAAGGGAAAGAGCAAGGAAAGAGGGUCUUGGUGCUGAGCACUCUGGAGGAGGAGCCGGUGAUGAAAAGAAAGAGGGACAGAAAACCGGAAUUGAUGAGGAUGGCUUUGCUGUACGUCAGUGUCGAUUUCAGCGGGCUGCCUCCCACAUCCGACACCAUCAAACGGUCGGAAGAGGAAACUGAAUAUGUUGGUAUUGACUUUGCAGCCUCUGCAGUCAAGAAAUAGUAACGUCCCUUAGAAGAGACGAAUAUUGGAGCAUUCCAUCGUCAUGUAUUGCAAACCCAUUGGUUUCAAUGUUUGUUAAACCUCAAGGCUUUUUAUUUGAUUAUGUUUUUUUCUUUGUUAUAUUAUUGGUUUAUGACAGAUCACUUCUGAUUUCCAUUUUAUUGUUUUGAAAAAAUCUGCAAUGUUAAGACAGCUUUAUUGUUUAUAUUCAAUACAGACCUUUUCUUGGUUUGUCCGCUUCUUUCCAAUUUAUUGUUUAUCACUUUUUGUGCUCCAGUAUUUGUAUGUGUUUCAUAAACUUCUGAUAUUACAUAUUUUAAUAUAUUCUCUGAUAUAAGAUUUCUUAAUGAUCAUUGUGAAGCAGCGCAUUCUUCUGUUUUACGUUCAGUGAAUCAGACAUUGGUGUGAUUUUGUUGAACUCGGGCAUGUCCUCUCUACGUUACAAUAUUAACGCUCUCCACCAACAUCAUGAGUAUAAAGAAUGCCAUAACGAUUAUAACAUAUCAGUAAACUCACUCACUUGUGUAAGUGAUGUCUAAAUUUGAUAAUUGUCACUCUGUGUAUAACAUACCGAUUGUAAAUGAAUGUUCCCUUAUAUUCAUUUCUCAUUGUAUGAACUGUUUGAAAUGAGAAUUGUAAGCCAUGUUGUCAAAAUUUGUUUUAAUUAUUCUGUCCAUGGUCGUUUCAUAAUUAGAACAAUUUGUUUUUGAUAUAACGUUCUAAAGUGCAAAUGCCUUGGUCGGAAGAGGAGUGAGUGAGUGAAUUAAAAUUUAAAGUCACAUCGGCAGUAUUUCAGCCAUAUCGUGACGUCGGAACAGUACACACAAUAUGAUGGUAUUACCUUUGCAGCCAAUGCAGUCAAGAAAGAGUAACGUCCCCUGACAAGAGACGAAUACGGGAACAUUCUUUCGUCGUGUACUGUAAACCCGUCGGUUUCAAUGUUUGUUACAGAGCUUUAGGCUUUUCUAUUUGAUUAUGUUUUUCUUUUGUUAUAUUAUUGGUUUAUGACAGAUCACUUUUUCUGAUUUCCAUUUUAGUGUUUUGCGAAAAGUCUCCAAUGUUAAGAGAGAUUUAUUGUUUAUAUUCAAUACAUACAUGUUUCUUGGUUUGUCCGCUUCUUUCCAAUUUAUUGUUUAUUGCUCUUUGUGCUGCAGUAUUUUUAUGUUUUUCAUAAACGUUCAUACUAAAUAUUUUCCUAUGUUCUCUGAUGUAAGAUUACAUUGAUCAUUGUGAAGCAACGCAUUUUCAUAUUUCAUGUUGAGUGAAUCUAACGUUGGUGUGAUUGUGUUGAACUCAGGCAUGUCCUUUCCACGUUACAAUAUUAACGCUCUUUACCAACAUCUUGAGUAUAAAGAAAGCAAUAACGAUUAUAACAUAUCGGUAAACUCACUCACUUGUAUAAGUGAUCAAUCAAUUUGUUAAUUGUGACUCUGUUCAUCAUGUGUGUAUAAGAUGCCAUAAGAUGAAGUUUCCAUAUAUUCAUAUCAUUGUAUGAACUGUUUGAAACUGAUAUGUAAACCAAAUAAUAAUAAUAAUAGCAUGCUUGUAAUGCGCUGUUUUCCAUGUACAACAUGUUUAAAGCGCAAGACAUAGAGGUAUAUACAAAACAGACACUAAGAGAGAAUAUAAUAUUAGAGAUACAUGGAAACAAUUCAAUGAAUUAUCGUUUGCACUCGUAAGCUAAUCGGAAGAAGUGAGUCUUUAGUAAGGAUUUAAAAUGAGAAAGUUCUGUACAGUCAGGUAGAUAUUGAGGUAGUUGAUUCCAGGUUGUAGAGGCUGCAUAAGAACAGGACCUUUCACCUUUCAAGUAGAAGUCGAAAUCAUCGACAUUUUAUUGUUCUAUCCAUGGUUGUUUCAAAAUUAGAGUAAAUUGUUCUUGAUAUAAAGUUUGCACUAUGUCCUCUCAAGGGCACUAAGACUAAUGUGCAUAUGUGCUCAAACGAUUACCACUCCUGUCUGGACUUAACCACUAUGUGUAAGGUCACAGCUCACAGGUCCCAUCGUGACCACUUCAUUCGCAUGCAUUUAGAAGCACAUGUAUUGGACCUCAAUGGUGCCUGGUUGUCACAUAGCUGGCUGUUAUCUGAGCUAUGUACAUGCACAUAUGAAAGUACCCUUACAUUGGAAGGUUUACUAUUUUAAAUUACUAUGUAAUUGUAUAUAGUGCAAAUUGUUUAGACAUUUCACGCAACUGUUACAUAUUUGUAAAUUUGUGGCUGUUAAUUUUUUCAAUUUAUUCAUACAUCAUUUGUAUAAAAUUGUUGAACAUUUUCUGACUUUUAUAAACAGCGUUUGUUUAUUAUAUGUUUCUUAACCUCAUCAACAAAACUCUUCAACUCAAAACCAAGGCUAAUAAACGGCAUUGUACUUAUGAACUGUAAUGCCCAAAGUCGCUAAAAAUAAAUGUUGUUGAUGCUGA